GCACUGGUGGUUCAGUGGUAGAAUUCUUGCUUUCUAUGCAGGAGACCUGAGUUUUGUUCUUGGUCAAUGCA
RNAcentral lists this transfer RNA (71 nucleotides) under Loxodonta africana (African savanna elephant). It matches the Rfam family "tRNA". From Rfam's summary of the family: Transfer RNA (tRNA) molecules are approximately 80 nucleotides in length. Lineage: Eukaryota; Metazoa; Chordata; Mammalia; Proboscidea; Elephantidae. The record is from Rfam by way of RNAcentral.